Alosa sapidissima (American shad) is the source of this 4004-nucleotide long non-coding RNA. RefSeq lists it as uncharacterized. The record is from RefSeq and is a predicted model, not a curated record. The transcript has 2 exons. Lineage: Eukaryota; Metazoa; Chordata; Actinopteri; Clupeiformes; Clupeidae.
CCACACCCCACUCCCCACACACACCCCCCCCCCCACGGCUCCCACAGCGAGAGAAAGAGAGACAGAAGAGGUGACUGAAGGAAUGAGAGAAGAUAGCAGAGGGGUAGAGUGGAGGAUACAGCCUUUUUUUCGUUGGGCAGUGCAAUAAGACUCAGUGAACAGUACAGCGAUGAGCCCAGGACUUUUGUACACUGCUGCGCUGUGGGGCACUGUGAAUGUUAUACAGAAAAGAAACGUGAAUGAGACAUGAACGAGACAUAAACGAGACGAGCUAGAGCGCAGGUAAGAGGAGGCACUUACACCCUCUUCAGGUACCAGAUGAGUUGAUCCGUACUGGGCAGUAUCUACAGAAGAGGUAGAGUGGGUCAUUGUCAUUGGUCACUUUUUUUUUUUAAAUGACUCAGCCCUUUGGAAGACAGAUUUUCCGUAGGGUGUCCUUGAAUAGAAGAUUGAGAAAAGAGAAUAGCAAUAUCCAGUAAACAUUUGAGCCCACUGAUUCCAUUAGGACAGAGGAGAAUGUCAAAUAAUCCUCCAGUCCUUUUUUUCUCUCAAGAGUGCAGGGUAAACACAGAACUCUAAGGGUUGGCCAUUUCUGAGGAAACGCCUGAUGCUAUUCUCCAGAAGUGUGCGAAAUGGAAACUAUAGCCCCACAGUUACUUUGAUUGGUUUCAUAUUUGACUUACUCGUGACUCUUUGUCGUUCCGUUGUUCAGUAUAAUUUUGUCCAAUUUAGUCGUAUUAAGUGUGUGUGUGUGUGUUGCUUUGCUGCUUGAGCAGAUGUGGUGAAGAUUGCUCUAACAUAUGCUCCAUUGAGAAGGACAGUCUGGUAUUGUUAUAUUGGGAUCCAGUGUUGCCCAACCUCCUCCCUCUCCCACUACCUUUCUGUCCACAUAUUCUGUAUGUACAUACUAACCCCCCCCCCACGCAACACACACACACACACACACACACACACACACACACACACACACACACACUGAAGGGCAGGCUGUGUCUCCAGAGGACGCGGCUCUCCCUCUCUCCCUCUCCCUUGCUCUCUCUUUCUCUCCCUCUCUCCUUCUCCCUUGCUCUCUCUGUCUCACUAACUCUUCUAUUCUCCUUUUCCUGUACCUCACUCACACAUGUUCUCUGUUUUUUCUCUCGGUCUUCCUCUGUUUCUCUAUCCUUCUUUCUCUCUUUUUUACUUCUCUCUCUCUCUAUUGUCCUCUGUGUCUCUCUGUUCCUCCAUCUCUCUCUUCCCCUCUCUCUUUCUCUCUCUUCCCCUCUCUCUCUCUCUCUCUUCCCUGCCUCCCUUCUCUCCCUCUCCUCCACAGCAGCCCAGUAACACUGGAUCCCCCCUGGCUCAGUAAUCUUAGAGGGGCGAGCGUAAUUGAGUCCAUGCACCUGUAGUGUGUUGGCUGGCGCAGCCAGGUAGCAUAACCUGACAGCGUCAAAAAGCCUCUAGCUAACGCCCCGGAUGAGUGUCCAGGACAAGCCACUUCGCAGGUGAUACUUUGACAGGAGCAGGUACUGCCAGUGAUUGUGUGGCCAGUUUUGCUGAUAUGCAAGGCUGAGUCCACAGCAGCAUAGUCCAGAGUGGAAUUAAAUCAUUUUUCCGGAGCGAGGAGUCAGUACUUCUUUGUUCGGCUUCAGUUCUAGUUCGAGUUCUAGUCUUGUCAAAAUAGAUGAACAUAUAUUAUAAUUUCUCGGUCAAGUUCAAGCAAUAGUGAUUUUAAGCAGCGAUGCCCUUUACUAUAAAAGCAAAUGAAUGUGUAUCACUGAUAUUUAUCUCUGAAGAACAAUGUCAUUAGAGUGAAACGUCUUUGGGUGCUUUUACUGAUCUAUCUGAGAGCUUGCUCUUAGCCCAGUUCUUAGAGCACCUAAAUAUUGUGUGCUAUUCAGGAAACAGUGGUGUGUUUUUCUCUUCUAAAAAAAAACAGGCCUACAUACAUCUGAGUUUAUCUAUUAACAGUAAGCCCUGCGUCUCUCUGUGGCUUUAUGGUCUAUUGACAAGGUCACAGGGGCGUGUUAGCAGUUGUGUUUGUGUGUUUAGAGCAUGCAUGUGUAUAUUUAAAAAGGGAUGCCUAUGUGAAUGUAAAGAGUUUUCUCCAUGGCCUAGGACAAUGUCUUUAUGAGUGGAAUUGGAGGUGGGCUUUGUUUUGUUUUGUGUUUUUAUUUUUUGUUUUGUUUCUCUUAUUAUGAAAUUAUGAAAAACUAUGUCAGUUAUUCCAAGUCUUUUUGCCACACACUUCUGCCCUUCAGUCCUCUCAGACAGUGAGUUCUUUUUCCUUUUUUUGUUUCACAAGAAGUGCUAAGCGAUGAGAGAGGAACAGGAUGGUGUCAUUAGAAACACUGCCAAUGGAACUUGGCAAAAAAUGGCUUUCUCCUACCCUCCACCUCCACAGCGGAUUUUUUUUUUGUGCUUUUUUUUUGCUUUUUGUCCAUCCAUCUCUUCAGCUUUUCAGUUCCUGUCUUUUGUCUCCUGUGCUUCUCGGCCUUGAUGAUGAUGAAAUGGAUGUAAAUUGCCAAAGUCCCACACACUUUCCUGUGUACCCAAUCUGUUGUCACGUCGUCUCUCAGAAAGGGGGAGAGAGAGAGAGAGAGAGAGAGAGAGAGAAAAGAGAGAGAAAGAGAGAUGGGUUGCAGGAGUGCUUGAAUACAUAAAAACUCCCAGGGAAGGUGACGAGUGCCUGCCCAGCUGUUUCUGUACAUUAACUGUGUGUGUGUGUGUGUGUGUGUGUGUGUGUGUGUGCGCGCGCAUGUGUGUGUGUAUCUGAGUGUCAGAGAUGGAUUGUGUAAUUGUGCUGUGUUUGUAUAAUACAUGUGUGAAUGUGUGUUUACCUCUGAAGUGCUACUUAGCAGACAGUGAAACUUUUAUCUUUAAAAAAAAUGCAAACCAAAGCUUUGCUUAAACCCUUAGACCAGGCAUUCCAAGACCCACGAUGAUAGCAGUUGUGAAUAUUUUAACUAUCCUACGUCCGGGACUAACCAGCCCCCUAAGUAGGGCACCACCCUAACCAGCCCCCUAAGUAGGGCACAACCCUGAUGCUGCCUUCCUGUGACCUCAUGGUUCUCACCUUCACGACCCUCACCCGACACUUAACACAUCCGCGCCAGAUCUGCUUACAGUACCUGUAAAGGGGCCCAGCCCUAAAUAAUCCAUGGUGAGGGUUUGUGUGACAUCACAGUAUUAGCUUUCCGUUUUCCUGUUUUGCGCUGGUAAAGGGGUAAACCCGUGCCAGCUCGAGGGUGAUCAGAACGACUACUAUCACAUGGGUCAGCCUGACUCACUAGAGAUGCUGUUGGUUAGACGGCAGGUCGUGGUGGUGGUGCAGGUCCCCAGAGCUGCACUUUAAAAAAUUAAGAAAUAAUAUUAAUAUGAAUAAUAAUACAGGAUCAAGGUUGAAUUUCCAAUGGCUUUUUUUCCCUUCAGUAUAUACUGUAGGGAUCACUAUAUAUAUAGGGACUUCACUAUAUAGGGAUAUUUUUUCAAGCUGGAGUUUUCAGUCCAGUGGUUGUUGUUUUAUUAUUAUUUUUAUUAGAGCACUACGUAGGAAACAGGAAACCAUUGGACACAUGGUCAGAUCUUUGAGUGGCAUUCUGGACGAGUGAGCUUGGCUUUUACAGUAUUAGUCAACAUUCAGAAAGGUGCUAUGGUACUCAGUGGUGUAGUAGUGGUUUUUACUCUCUGAUAACUAACCUAUGUGUCUUAACUAGAUCCUUGGUGUGGAAAUGCCAUUCUCACAAUUUAUUUGUGUUUGUUUUGUCUGUCUGCUUUUUUUUCCUCUUGUAAACUUUUACAAAGAUAUGUUAUUAUGACUCUCUAUUGUUAUUAUCUGUGUACAAAAAAAAACAACACAAAAAAUAACAAAUAAAAAAUGAUAUUUAUUGAAAAAGGAAGAUUGUGUUUUAAAACAAACUUUAAAAAGCUGUCUUUUGCUUUUAUUUUGAAAAGCCCGUUUGUAUUCUAUUUGAUUAACAACUGUUGACAGGUGAGCAAACUAAAUAAAGCUAUCUUGUACUGAC